GAGUUUGAUCCUGGCUCAGGAUGAACGCUGGCGGCGUGCUUAACACAUGCAAGUCGAGCGAAGCAUUAAAACCGAUUUCUUCGGAAAGAAGUUUUAAUGACUGAGCGGCGGACGGGUGAGUAACGCGUGGGUGACCUGCCUCAUACAGGGGGAUAACAGACAGAAAUGUCUGCUAAUACCGCAUAAGCGCACAGUGCUGCAUGGCACAGUGUGAAAAACUCCGGUGGUAUGAGAUGGACCCGCGUCUGAUUAGCUAGUUGGUAAGGUAACGGCUUACCAAGGCGACGAUCAGUAGCCGGCCUGAGAGGGUGAACGGCCACAUUGGGACUGAGACACGGCCCAAACUCCUACGGGAGGCAGCAGUGGGGAAUAUUGCACAAUGGGGGAAACCCUGAUGCAGCGACGCCGCGUGAAGGAAGAAGUAUUUCGGUAUGUAAACUUCUAUCAGCAGGGAAGAAAAUGACGGUACCUGACUAAGAAGCCCCGGCUAACUACGUGCCAGCAGCCGC
Molecule: ribosomal RNA, 509 nt
Filed under: uncultured bacterium
Lineage: Bacteria
Description: bacterial SSU rRNA
Rfam family: Bacterial small subunit ribosomal RNA
Source: RNAcentral